RNAcentral lists this ribosomal RNA (773 nucleotides) under uncultured bacterium. RNAcentral describes it as "bacterial SSU rRNA". It matches the Rfam family "Bacterial small subunit ribosomal RNA", at positions 8 to 798 of the family's 1533-position model. The record is from RNAcentral.
AGAGUUUGAUCCUGGCUCAGGACGAACGCUGGCGGCGUGCUUAACACAUGCAAGUCGAACGGAAAGGCCCUUCGGGGUACUCGAGUGGCGAACGGGUGAGUAACACGUGGGUGAUCUGCCCUGCACUCUGGGAUAAGCCUGGGAAACUGGGUCUAAUACCGGAUAGGACCACAUGCUUCAUGGUGUGUGGUGCAAAGCUUUUGCGGUGUGGGAUGAGCCCGCGGCCUAUCAGCUUGUUGGUGGGGUAAUGGCCUACCAAGGCGACGACGGGUAGCCGGCCUGAGAGGGUGACCGGCCACACUGGGACUGAGAUACGGCCCAGACUCCUACGGGAGGCAGCAGUGGGGAAUAUUGCACAAUGGGCGCAAGCCUGAUGCAGCGACGCCGCGUGAGGGAUGACGGCCUUCGGGUUGUAAACCUCUUUCAGUAGGGACGAAGCGAAAGUGACGGUACCUACAGAAGAAGGACCGGCCAACUACGUGCCAGCAGCCGCGGUAAUACGUAGGGUCCGAGCGUUGUCCGGAAUUACUGGGCGUAAAGAGCUCGUAGGUGGUUUGUCGCGUUGUUCGUGAAAACUCACAGCUUAACUGUGGGCGUGCGGGCGAUACGGGCAGACUAGAGUACUGCAGGGGAGACUGGAAUUCCUGGUGUAGCGGUGGAAUGCGCAGAUAUCAGGAGGAACACCGGUGGCGAAGGCGGGUCUCUGGGCAGUAACUGACGCUGAGGAGCGAAAGCGUGGGUAGCGAACAGGAUUAGAUACCCUGGUAGUCCAA